AAGGCGGGGGGCCAACCCCCCGGCCGCUUUGGAAACUGUGAAACUGGAGUGCAGGAGAGGUAAGUGGAAUUCCUAGUGUAGCGGUGAAAUGCGUAGAUAUUAGGAGGAACACCAGUGGCGAAGGCGGCUUACUGGACUGUAACUGACGUUGAGGCUCGAAAGCGUGGGGAGCAAAC
Molecule: ribosomal RNA, 176 nt
Filed under: uncultured bacterium
Lineage: Bacteria
Description: partial 16S ribosomal RNA
Rfam family: Bacterial small subunit ribosomal RNA
Source: RNAcentral